UUCAAAGUUAUUAUGUUUGGUGACUGUGAACACAGUCAACAAAAAAUAUGGGAAAUCUACUACCUACGUUUCUCAAAUCACUUAUGGAUAAUAAUGCUGGAAUGGAUAAUAAUACUGGAAAUGCCUUGGAGCCAAGUCUGACAAUCGUCAAGGAGCAACUGAAUAAGUACAUAAAUGAAAUAGAAAAAGAAGUAAAGGACAGAGAUAAUCUUAUUGAAAGACUCAUUGAAGAAAACGAGAAACUUGGCAAGAAGAUAAACCAUUCAGAUGCCUCUCAGAUGGAAGUCGACGAUAAGAAAUGAACAAACAACGCCACAUGAAGCCCCUGCAGUAGACUCUCUUUAUUGUCUUUCAUUAUAAGCUCAUUGCAUCUAAAUCAAAUUUUAGCAUGAUUUUAUAUUGGGUUGCCUGUGGAAACUGAUUAUGUCUAUCCACAGGGAGCCCAGAAUUAUAGUAAGAAAUAGAAAAGCCAAAUGUAGUAUAGGCGGAUUUUAACUAUCCACUAAGUCUCCUGAUUGGCUAAAAAUGACUAAGCCACAAUAUAUAGCUCACCAUUUGGGUAUGCUACGUGAUUAUGCAUAAAUAUCUGAUCGUUUUAUUAAAAUAUAAAAUGUUUGUUCACGUGACCCCAAUCAGUUUCAAAUUUGCCAAAUUUGUUGGCGGGGCAAGUGUUAAUAUAAAGACAGUAAAAAAUAUUUGUUAUGAAUAGAUAAACUGACUUUAAGGUUAUUGGAUGCUAAAGCACGUGAUAGGUCCGUGAUUCAUCAACCACGUUUUAGAAUCUUACAAAUAUUUACAAGUUAUUAUAAUCUUUGUUAUCAUUUGGAAGUUUGCCGAGCCUCACCUUUAAGUAUAAAUAGUUUGACAAAGUCACUCAGGUUAAGUGAGUCAAGCGAUGUCAAUCAAGUUUUGUUGAAAAUCAUUGUACAUAGAUAUGGAAUGUUCCAGAGCAAUCUUUGAAGAAUCGAUUUUUCGGUUA
Long non-coding RNA from Exaiptasia diaphana, 979 nucleotides. RefSeq lists it as uncharacterized. The record is from RefSeq and is a predicted model, not a curated record. NCBI's taxonomy places the organism in Eukaryota, Metazoa, Cnidaria, Anthozoa, Actiniaria, Aiptasiidae. The transcript is spliced from 2 exons.